UUUUUUCGUGUAGCAAUACAUGGAAAAGUCUAGCGGCGAACGGGUGCUUAACACGUGGGCAACCUGCCAGGAAGUGGGGGAUAGCUCGCCGAAAGGCGAAUUAAUACCGCAUGUGAUUAGAGAGGACAUCCUUUCGAAAUUAAAGUCGGGGCAACCUGACGCUUCUUGUGGGGCCCGCGGCCUAUCAGCUAGUUGGUGAGGUAAUGGCUCACCAAGGCUUUGACGGGUAGCUGGUCUGAGAGGACGACCAGCCACACUGGGACUGAGACACGGCCCAGACACCUACGGGUGGCAGCAGUCGAGAAUUUUUGACAAUGGGGGAAACCCUGAUCGAGCGACGCCGCGUGGAGGAUGAAGGUCUUCGGAUUGUAAACUCCUGUCAUUGGGGAACAAGUCGCUUACGUUAACUGCGUGAGCGUUGAUAGUACCCGAAGAGGAAGAGACGGCUAACUCUGUGCCAGCAGCCGCGGUAAUACAGAGGUCUCAAGCGUUGUUCGGAUUCAUUGGGCGUAAAGGGUGCGUAGGCGGCGCGGUAAGCCGGGUGUGAAAUCUCGGAGCUUAACUCCGAAACUGCAUUCGAUACUGCCGUGCUUGAGGACUGGAGAGGAGACUGGAAUUUACGGUGUAGCGGUGAAAUGCGUAGAUAUCGUAAGGAAGACCAGUGGCGAAGGCGGGUCUCUGGACAGUUCCUGACGCUGAGGCACGAAGGUCAGGGGAGCAAACGGGAUUAGAUACCCCGGUAGUCCUGACAGUAAACGGUGCACGUUUGGUGUGGGAGGAUUCGACCCCUUCUGCGCCGGAGCUAACGCGUUAAACGUGCCGCCUGGGGAGUACGGUCNCAAGAUUAAAACUC
This 853-nucleotide ribosomal RNA is filed under the name uncultured Verrucomicrobiota bacterium. Its description in RNAcentral is "bacterial SSU rRNA". It matches the Rfam family "Bacterial small subunit ribosomal RNA", at positions 67 to 902 of the family's 1533-position model. Lineage: Bacteria; Pseudomonadati; Verrucomicrobiota. The record is from RNAcentral.